GUAGGCGAUCUAUCAUGCAGUCGAGCGAAUGGAUUAAGAGCUUGCUCUUAUGAAGUUAGCGGCGGACGGGUGAGUAACACGUGGGUAACCUGCCCAUAAGACUGGGAUAACUCCGGGAAACCGGGGCUAAUACCGGAUAACAUUUUGAACCGCAUGGUUCGAAAUUGAAAGGCGGCUUCGGCUGUCACUUAUGGAUGGACCCGCGUCGCAUUAGCUAGUUGGUGAGGUAACGGCUCACCAAGGCAACGAUGCGUAGCCGACCUGAGAGGGUGAUCGGCCACACUGGGACUGAGACACGGCCCAGACUCCUACGGGAGGCAGCAGUAGGGAAUCUUCCGCAAUGGACGAAAGUCUGACGGAGCAACGCCGCGUGAGUGAUGAAGGCUUUCGGGUCGUAAAACUCUGUUGUUAGGGAAGAACAAGUGCUAGUUGAAUAAGCUGGCACCUUGACGGUACCUAACCAGAAAGCCACGGCUAACUACGUGCCAGCAGCCGCGGUAAUACGUAGGUGGCAAGCGUUAUCCGGAAUUAUUGGGCGUAAAGCGCGCGCAGGUGGUUUCUUAAGUCUGAUGUGAAAGCCCACGGCUCAACCGUGGAGGGUCAUUGGAAACUGGGAGACUUGAGUGCAGAAGAGGAAAGUGGAAUUCCAUGUGUAGCGGUGAAAUGCGUAGAGAUAUGGAGGAACACCAGUGGCGAAGGCGACUUUCUGGUCUGUAACUGACACUGAGGCGCGAAUGUCUGGCCAGCC
RNAcentral lists this ribosomal RNA (748 nucleotides) under Bacillus cereus. RNAcentral describes it as "bacterial SSU rRNA". It matches the Rfam family "Bacterial small subunit ribosomal RNA", at positions 42 to 770 of the family's 1533-position model. The record is from RNAcentral. Lineage: Bacteria; Bacillati; Bacillota; Bacilli; Caryophanales; Bacillaceae.